RNAcentral lists this ribosomal RNA (432 nucleotides) under Synergistetes bacterium oral taxon 360. RNAcentral's name for it is "bacterial SSU rRNA". It matches the Rfam family "Bacterial small subunit ribosomal RNA", at positions 28 to 478 of the family's 1533-position model. The record is from RNAcentral. Lineage: Bacteria; Thermotogati; Synergistota.
GAUGAACGCUGGCGGCGUGCGUAACACAUGCAAGUUGAACGACGGUGCCAUGAAGUGGUAACACGGAGUGGUAUACGGAGUAGCGGACGGGUGAGUAAAGCAUGAGAAUCUGUCCUGUCGAGGGGGAUAACGUUCGGAAACGGACCCUAAUACCCCAUAGUCCGAGAGGUUAAAGGCAGCGAUGCGCGGCAGGAGGAGCUCGUGUCCUAUCAGCUGGUUGGUGAGGUAACGGCUCACCAAGGCUUCGACGGGUAGCCGGCCUGAGAGGGUGACCGGCCACACUGGAACUGAGAAACGGUCCAGACUCCUACGGGAGGCAGCAGUGGGGAAUAUUGGGCAAUGGGAGGAAUCCUGACCCAGCGACGCCGCGUGAACGAAGACGGCCUUCGGGUUGUAAAGUUCUUUUAUGUGGGAAGAAUGAAGUGACGGUAC